Non-coding RNA from Cladorrhinum sp. PSN259, 89 nucleotides. Lineage: Eukaryota; Fungi; Ascomycota; Sordariomycetes; Sordariales; Podosporaceae. The record is from the annotation of a GenBank genome assembly.
GGCCGUGUGGCGCAACGGUAGCGCGUUACUUUCCGGUACUUGUCAUCUUCAGUUGGUAAAGGCUCUGGGUUCGAGUCCCAGCAUGGUCG